CUUCGGUGCCCGAGUUGUAAUUUGAAGAAUACAAUCUUGGAAUUGGUCCUUGUCUAUGUUCCUUGGAACAGGACGUCACAGAGGGUGAGAAUCCCGUGCGAUGAGGAUACCUUUUCUUUAUAAGAUGUGUUCGACGAGUCGAGUUGUUUGGGAAUGCAGCUCUAAGUGGGUGGUAAAUUCCAUCUAAAGCUAAAUAUUGGCGAGAGACCGAUAGCGAACAAGUACAGUGAUGGAAAGAUGAAAAGAACUUUGAAAAGAGAGUGAAAAAGUACGUGAAAUUGUUGAAAGGGAAGGGUAUUUGAUCAGACUUGGUAUUUGGGUAUCUCUUCUCCUUGUGGGAGGGGCUCUAGCCUUUUACUGGGCCAGCAUCAGUUCUUGUGGCAAGAUAAUCGCAGUUGAAUGUGGCUCUUCGGAGUGUUAUAGCUUCUGUUGAUGUUGCCUACGGGGACUGAGGUCUGCGGGUUUUCCCUAGGAUGCUGGCGUAAUGAUCAAACACCGCCCGUCUUGAAACAUGGACCAAGGAGUCUAACGUCUAUGCGAGUGUUUGGGUGUAAAACCCGUACGCGUAAUGAAAGUGAACGUAGAUCAGGGCCCUCUUAUGGGUGCAUGAUCGACCGAUCCUGACGUUUUCAGAAGGAUUUGAGUAAGAGCAUAGCUGUUGGGACCCGAAAGAUGGUGAACUAUGCCUGAAUAGGGUGAAGCCAGAGGAAACUCUGGUGGAGGCUCGUAGCGGUUCUGACGUGCAAAUCGAUCGUCAAAUUUGGGUAUAGGGGCGAAAGACUAAUCGAACCAUCUAGUAGCUGGUUCCUGCC
Molecule: ribosomal RNA, 812 nt
Filed under: Ambrosiozyma sp.
Lineage: Eukaryota; Fungi; Ascomycota; Pichiomycetes; Pichiales; Pichiaceae
Description: partial large subunit ribosomal RNA
Rfam family: Eukaryotic large subunit ribosomal RNA
Source: RNAcentral